This 409-nucleotide ribosomal RNA is filed under the name uncultured bacterium. Its description in RNAcentral is "bacterial SSU rRNA". It matches the Rfam family "Bacterial small subunit ribosomal RNA", at positions 355 to 776 of the family's 1533-position model. The record is from RNAcentral.
UGGGGAAUAUUGCGCAAUGGGCGAAAGCCUGACGCAGCAACGCCGCGUGAGGGAUGACGGCCUUCGGGUUGUAAACCUCUUUCAGCGGGGACGAAGCGAAAGUGACUGUACCCGCAGAAGAAGCGCCGGCUAACUACGUGCCAGCAGCCGCGGUAAUACGUAGGGCGCAAGCGUUGUCCGGAUUUAUUGGGCGUAAAGAGCUCGUAGGCGGUCUGUCGCGUCGGAUGUGAAAACCCGGAGCUCAACUCCGGGCCUGCAUUCGAUACGGGCAGACUUGAGUACUGCAGGGGAGACUGGAAUUCCUGGUGUAGCGGUGGAAUGCGCAGAUAUCAGGAGGAACACCGGUGGCGAAGGCGGGUCUCUGGGCAGAAACUGACGCUGAGGAGCGAAAGCGUGGGGAGCGAACAGG